Molecule: ribosomal RNA, 460 nt
Filed under: uncultured bacterium
Lineage: Bacteria
Description: partial 16S ribosomal RNA
Rfam family: Bacterial small subunit ribosomal RNA
Source: RNAcentral
CCUACGGGGUGCUGCAGUGAGGAAUAUUGGUCAAUGGCCGGAAGGCUGAACCAGCCAUGCAGCGUGAAGGUCAGUGCCCUAUGGGCGUUAAACUUCUUUUGUGCGGGAGCAAUAAUGGUCACGUGUGGCCAGACGAGAGUACCGUACGAAUAAGCAUCGGCUAACUCCGUGCCAGCAGCCGCGGUUAUACGGGGGAUGCAAGCGUUAUCCGGAUUUAUUGGGGUUAAAGGGUGCGUAGGCUGUGAGGUAAGUCAGCGGUGAAAUGCCCCCGCUCAACGGGGUGAAGUGCCAUUGAUACUGCCUUGCUGGAAUGCGGAUGCCGUGGGAGGAAUGUGUGGUGUAGCGGUGAAAUGCAUAGAUAUCACACAGAACACCGAUUGCGAAGGCAUCUCACGAAUCCGCGAUUGACGCUGAUGCACGAAAGCGUGGGUAUCAAACAGGAUUAGAUACCCUUGUAGUC